Molecule: ribosomal RNA, 429 nt
Filed under: Gemmatimonadota bacterium
Lineage: Bacteria; Pseudomonadati; Gemmatimonadota
Description: Gemmatimonadetes bacterium partial 16S ribosomal RNA
Rfam family: Bacterial small subunit ribosomal RNA
Source: RNAcentral
UAGGGAAUCUUCGGCAAUGGACGAAAGUCUGACCGAGCAACGCCGCGUGAGUGAAGAAGGUUUUCGGAUCGUAAAACUCUGUUGUUAGAGAAGAACAAGGACGUUAGUAACUGUACGUCCCCUGACGGUAUCUAACCAGAAAGCCACGGCUAACUACGUGCCAGCAGCCGCGGUAAUACGUAGGUGGCAAGCGUUGUCCGGAUUUAUUGGGCGUAAAGCGAGCGCAGGCGGUUUCUUAAGUCUGAUGUGAAAGCCCCCGGCUCAACCGGGGAGGGUCAUUGGAAACUGGGAGACUUGAGUGCAGAAGAGGAGAGUGGAAUUCCAUGUGUAGCGGUGAAAUGCGUAGAUAUAUGGAGGAACACCAGUGGCGAAGGCGGCUCUCUGGUCUGUUACUGACGCUGAGGCUCGAAAGCGUGGGGAGCAAACAGG